UAACACGUGGAUAACCUACCUAUAAGACUGGGAUAACUUCGGGAAACCGGAGCUAAUACCGGAUAAUAUAUUGAACCGCAUGGUUCAAUAGUGAAAGACGGUUUUGCUGUCACUUAUAGAUGGAUCCGCGCCGCAUUAGCUAGUUGGUAAGGUAACGGCUUACCAAGGCGACGAUGCGUAGCCGACCUGAGAGGGUGAUCGGCCACACUGGAACUGAGACACGGUCCAG
This 229-nucleotide ribosomal RNA is filed under the name uncultured Staphylococcus sp. RNAcentral describes it as "partial 16S ribosomal RNA". It matches the Rfam family "Bacterial small subunit ribosomal RNA", at positions 111 to 334 of the family's 1533-position model. Lineage: Bacteria; Bacillati; Bacillota; Bacilli; Caryophanales; Staphylococcaceae. The record is from RNAcentral.